Long non-coding RNA from Chelonia mydas (Green sea turtle), 4326 nucleotides. RefSeq lists it as uncharacterized. The transcript is spliced from 3 exons. NCBI's taxonomy places the organism in Eukaryota, Metazoa, Chordata, Testudines, Cheloniidae. The record is from RefSeq and is a predicted model, not a curated record.
CACACCCUCCACCGCCUCAUUCCCUUCUUCAGCCCUCACGCUAACAAGACCUGGCUUUGCCUCCUCUCCACGGCUAGGUGUCAGCACUUGAAGGGUAAGCAACUUGUCAACAUGCUACAGGUCUCCAAGGAACUGCAGGAUAUGAUGAAUUCCCAAGUGUCACGUCUUCUACAACUAUUCAGGAACAAAAACGCCAUCGACGGAGACUGGGAGGCCGAAGAACAAAGCAUGCUGCCUGUGACGAUUUUAACUUGUGACGGCCAGAACAGACCACGUCCUAACUGAGGGUCUGAUGGAUGUCGGGUUGCUUGGUGGUGAACAUGGAUCUGUGCCCCAAGAGGUGUUUUAUGUGUAGGAUUCCUGAGGUGCGGUGUUGGGCCACCCGGUGACGGGGACGGGGGGGGGGUGUGGAAGCAGUUUCAGGCCUGGGAUUAAGAGUCAUUGAGGCUUCGUCUACACUGCCCAGUUAACCCAGGUGAGGGGUCAGCCUCACCUGGGCGUGAGCAGCCACACUGAAAAGCCCUACCUGAAUUGCUGUGAUGCCACUGAUGCUGCACUGCCCCCUGUGUGUCUGGGGGUGCAUCCCAGGGCCCUUUGGGCCAAGAGGCUCAAGGAUUCUUUCCCAGCCAACUGUGUCUAUUGCAGGAGGACUUGACUGUCCUUCAGGGUGGAAUUAUGGGAAGGCACGGGGGGACUAACAGCACUGGAGUGGUUUAGCCUGCGUCUUCACUGCAAUGUGUGGGGGUUCCUGUUCGAGCUAAAACAGGGCCAGGGCUCUAAUCCACACUCCCAGCCUGGUAAAAUAGCAUGGGUUUAAAGCAGCUCCAAACCUAGUCCCCAAGUUUUUCUGUGUGGACGGCAGGGGCAGCUGGGCUAAAACCCAGGCUAAGAAUUCAGGUUAACUGUGCAUUGUAGACAAACCAUUAUUCAGCCACAAGUAUAUACUCCUUUCUUUCACCAAUAUAAUUCAGAAUAUUAAAGGAGAACUUAAUGCAGGUUUCAGUUCAGGACUAUGGGGAGCGGCAGUCCAAAGAAACUGGAAAUCAUUCAAGAUGCUGAUUGAAGCCAUCCCUAAUAAGGGAUUAAAUAUUGCUCUCCGUCUGCAGUCCACAGGAGAGUGCAGUCCAAAGGAUGGGUGUCAUACGACAUGCACGGCCCUUUAAUACAAUGCAGAGACACAGUAAAAGCCAGAGACAGAUGGGAGGGAUCUCUCUGGUUUACUUUAACGAAGAAUCAGCGUUGGGGACCCGAGAGAGGGAUGAAGAUUCACCAGACUUGAUUUAGGCUGAAGUCCGACACACUGGCCACCAGAUGCUCUAACAGGAUUCAUUCCUGGGAGCUGUUCAGUCUUUUGUCUGUUUUCACUUUGUUUAACAGCUGCCCUUUGGAUUGUGCUACUUUGUGGGCUGCAGAUGGACGAAGACAUUUCAGAAAACACACUCAAACAUUCAUCUACUCAGUUCUGAUUCAAAGCAGCUUGGCUGGCCAUGUUCCUAGGGUUAGGAGAGUCUGUGAAUUGGUUUUUAGAGAACGCAACAUACCCUAACAUCAGAAAUGAUCAGAACUAAACAUUUAAUGAAAAGACCCACAACUUUUGGGAAGAAAUAAUUUUUCCAAGAAAAUAGAUUGGAAUGACAGGACCAUAUAAAUGUCUCUUCCUACUAAACACCAAAACACACUGAACAUUUGCAAGUUCCCCCAAGGAGCUUCACUCUCAUCUCAUCCCUUUGAGCAGGUGUUCGGAAGACUGAGAAGGAUGAGAGCAAUCCUCCUUUGGGGAAUUAGGGGGAUGGGGAUACUGAUAUGGUUUGUAUUGUGCUGUGCAGCCUGAUGAUUACUUCCCCCCCAUCCUGUAUAUGUAUGUUGCAGUUUGGGUUCCAUGAUGAUCUUGCAGCUGAUGGCAGGGAGAUCCUGGAACUCAGGAGAGGAGAAAUGUGUACACUAGUUUUAGCUCCAUCUUAACUUCACCCCAGGGUUCACCUGCAUAAUGGACACUCUGAGAUCUAGAUAGAAGGACACUGAGUACUGUUAUCCCCAUUACACAGUGGGGGAAACUAAGGCACAGAAUGGUUAAGUGAUUUGCUCAAGAUGCAGGAAACCUGUGGCAGAACUGGGAAGAGCACCUACAUCUUCUGAUUCCCAGUUCUAUGCAUUGAACUGUGUUAACCUCUCAAUCCUGUGCUUUAGCCUCACAACAUCCUUCCUCUUAAUAGAGGACUUCAUAGUGUUCAUUUGCAACCAGGCUGAGGCCUGCCUUUCCUGUCUGUGGGUGCAAUUUGUGUCCACACUUUGGCAGCCACAAAAGGAGCCAUGAGUAUCAACUGGAGUGGUUGUACUUCUAAAUAAAUUUGCACCUGGAAUCAAGAAGAUGUAGCUAUUCAGUUUUGCAUCGUGAACUGAACUCCAGGUGUAAACAUGAGGGUGCAAACUUCACCCACAAAAGGAAGGCCACCGUUCUGAAACGUACUGAAAGCUCUUGCAACAUACAAGAACAUCUCAGACUGGAAGCCUCCUGGAGUAGCUACUUCUUUUGUGAUUAGAAAGACAACCCAGAAAGUCAUAUCUGUUACCUUGAUAUGUCUGCAAGAUCAGUUGUUCCCGUGAAGUCAAGUUACUUCAGGCAGAUCAUCGCCUGCUGCAGAGUCCAUACAUUUCCCUUUUUAAAUGGAUUAAGUAAAGUAUCUCUAUUAAAUCAUAAAAAAUAAAAAUUGAAUUCUGCCAAGUCUGCUUACACCAUCACCAGCCAUCUAGCAGAAGAAAUCAUCCUCUCUUCUAUUUUAGUGGAUAAGCACUAGAGUUAUACAUGUCUAAACUUUACUGAGUCAUGACUAAAGGACAGGCUAAAAGCUGAUAAAUACUCAAAAGAAACUGCAAGGAGAGAGAGGAGUUAUUUAACAAAAAGGGGACAGGGAUAUACACAGGAAUACUUGGAUGAAAUGAAGACAGGAAAGAUGGUGGCUGAAUAUCUGGGGAAUCUUUACAAGUUACAACUGAAUUUAUAAACUAAGAAGUGUUAUAAGCUCCUCUUAUGUCCAAAAGCCACCCAAGUGUGUACAGAAACUACCCAAAACCUCAUCUACUUUCACCUUGAGUCACAAACCUGACACUCCAGCCAGGUUCAUCGUAAGAUCGAUUAACCUUCCAAGUGAAUGCAGAGCUCUACUGUGUUGUUGGAUUCAAUUUAAGAAAAGGGGAACUAAUGCAUCAGAUUCAGACAUAGUUGGGGACAGCUUUAAGAUGGAAGGUGCUCGUAACUUGGCAUCUACUUUCGUAUCCUUUUCUUUUACACCACAGUACCAAUCACAAGUGACAUGCAAAGGCACACAGGCCUUCUGUUGUAUCCAGUCAAUUUGUAAGUGGCCUUUUGGUGGGGGAGGGUGAGAGCGCGCUCUCCGCUGGGCUUGUUUAGCUGACCUCAGGAAAAGCAAGCCUCAUGAUGGAAGGUCUCGCCUCCCAUCUGGGCUGCAAGCUCUGAGAGGAGCCAGUCGGUCUGACUGCCACUAGCUUUUGCUUGCUUAUAAAUGCUGAGAACAUCAGAUAAUCCAGGGAUGUCAGGGUCAGCUGUUCUAACUGCUUUAUCAGCCAUAGAUCACUCCCAUGGCCAGCCUCUUUCAGGAGACAGAUUUCAAAUGAAUUGCGUGUGUGUUCAGUGUACUUGGGACACCGUGUCCCCACCAACGGGGCCUCUGCUCUUUGAUGCAAAAUGUUAUUUUAAAAGUGCCACCCUUAUUAGCUGUUCUCACAAUAUAUCUGAUGAAACCCAGAGGGAAAAGGCUGCAGAUUAGCAAGCACAAAUACAGCAGAAAUCCAAUUUUUUCCUGACUCUACAUAACAGGAGAAGUCAGUUCAUCCAUCUCACAGCAUGCUGUCUGUUCAAAUCGCCUGUAUCCCUUGCAAAUAGAAUGAGAUAUUCAUAGAGUUUAAAGUCAGAAGACACCAUUAGAUCAUCUAGUCUGCUGACCUAUGUAUCACAAGCCAUAGAAUUACAUCCAUUUACCCCUGUCCUGAGCCCAGCAACUUGUAUUUGACUAAAGCAUAUCUCUAGAUAUUGGCUCUUCCAAUUACAGCACAAUAACCCAAACCUGCCUCUUAUUUCGGGGGGGGAAGAGCGGGAGAAUUGAUGUAAACAGUGGACAUAACGUCGUCCUCCUUGCUUCUUCUCCUGGAAUGUGAAAUGGGAACACGGCUGUUGUCUGUGGCACAGACAGCUCCGUGGCUGUUGUGCUCUGGCCUUCUUUUUCCUGGAGGGUGACCAGAUAGCAAGUGAGAAAAAUCGGGACAGGGAGUGCGGGGUAAUAGGCGCCUAGGUAAGAAAAAGCCCCCAAA